This 889-nucleotide ribosomal RNA is filed under the name Porphyromonadaceae bacterium UBA6853. RNAcentral's name for it is "bacterial SSU rRNA". It matches the Rfam family "Bacterial small subunit ribosomal RNA", at positions 8 to 885 of the family's 1533-position model. The record is from RNAcentral. Lineage: Bacteria; Pseudomonadati; Bacteroidota; Bacteroidia; Bacteroidales; Porphyromonadaceae.
AGAGUUUGAUCCUGGCUCAGGAUGAACGCUAGCGACAGGCUUAACACAUGCAAGUCGAGGGGCAGCGAGGAGUAAGCUUGCUUACUCUGUCGGCGACCGGCGCACGGGUGAGUAACACGUAUGCAACCUGCCCUUGUCAGGGGGAUAAUCCGGAGAAAUCCGGUCUAAUAUCGCAUAAAGCGUUAGUGAGGCAUCUCACAGACGCCAAAGGAGAGAUCCGGACAAGGAUGGGCAUGCGGCGCAUUAGCUAGUUGGGGGGGUAACGGCCCACCAAGGCGACGAUGCGUAGGGGUUCUGAGAGGAAGGUCCCCCACAUUGGUACUGAGACACGGACCAAACUCCUACGGGAGGCAGCAGUGAGGAAUAUUGGUCAAUGGGCGGAAGCCUGAACCAGCCAAGUCGCGUGAGGGAAGACGGCCCUAAGGGUUGUAAACCUCUUUUGCCGGGGAGCAAAGGCACCGUGCGCGGUGCUAUGAGAGUACCCGGAGAAAAAGCAUCGGCUAACUCCGUGCCAGCAGCCGCGGUAAUACGGAGGAUGCGAGCGUUAUCCGGAUUUAUUGGGUUUAAAGGGUGCGUAGGCGGACAUUUAAGUCAGCGGUCAAAACGGGUGGCUCAACCACCUGUCGCCGUUGAAACUGGGUGUCUAGAGUGGGCGAGAAGUACGCGGAAUGCGCGGUGUAGCGGUGAAAUGCAUAGAUAUUGCGCAGAACUCCGAUUGCGAAGGCAGCGUACCGGCGCCCGACUGACGCUGAAGCACGAAAGCGUGGGGAUCGAACAGGAUUAGAUACCCUGGUAGUCCACGCAGUAAACGAUGGACACUAGCUGUUCGGGUCGAAUGAGAUCUGAGUGGCACAGCGAAAGCGUUAAGUGUCCCACCUGGGGAGUACGC